GCCCGGCUAGCUCAAUCGGUAGAGCGUGAGACUCUUAGUAUUCACGUUCUGAGGACGGUGUACCCCUAAAUUCCGUUAUCUCAAGGUUGUGGGUUCGACCCCCACGUCGGGCU
Molecule: non-coding RNA, 113 nt
Organism: Lentithecium fluviatile CBS 122367
Lineage: Eukaryota; Fungi; Ascomycota; Dothideomycetes; Pleosporales; Lentitheciaceae
Source: the annotation of a GenBank genome assembly